UGGCCACCAAGAAGCAGAGAGAUUUGUGUGUUGCUGUUGUUGUUGUCGUUUUUUGUUGAAUGUUAUAUUUUUGACAAAUUGUAUAUGUAUGUGUGUGUGUGUGUUUGUGUGCGUGUAUUUGUACGCAUUUAAGGUUCUGCAGAGCGUUAAAUAUUUUUAGCCCAAAGUCAGACGAAGAUGCGGCACAAAAGGUAGAACAAAGGAGGCAACAGCAAAAGCAGCAUCAUGUUGCCAA
Molecule: small RNA, 235 nt
Filed under: Drosophila guanche
Lineage: Eukaryota; Metazoa; Arthropoda; Insecta; Diptera; Drosophilidae
Source: RNAcentral